GGUUGACCUCGGAUCAGGUAGGGAUACCCGCUGAACUUAAGCAUAUCAAUAAGCGGAGGAAAAGAAACCAACAGGGAUUGCCUCAGUAACGGCGAGUGAAGCGGCAAGAGCUCAAAUUUGAAAGCUGGCUCCUUCGGGGUCCGCAUUGUAAUUUGCAGAGGAUGCUUCGGGCAUGGCCCCCGUCUAAGUGCCCUGGAAGGGGCCGUCAUAGAGGGUGAGAAUCCCGUCUGGGACGGGGUGUCCGUGUCCAUGUGAAGCUCCUUCGACGAGUCGAGUUGUUUGGGAAUGCAGCUCUAAAUGGGUGGUAAAUUUCAUCUAAAGCUAAAUACUGGCCGGAGACCGAUAGCGCACAAGUAGAGUGAUCGAAAGAUGAAAAGCACUUUGAAAAGAGAGUUAAACAGCACGUGAAAUUGUUGAAAGGGAAGCGUUUGCGACCAGACUCGCCCGCGGGGUUCAGCCGGCAUUCGUGCCGGUGUACUUCCCCGUGGGCGGGCCAGCGUCGGUUUGGGCGGCCGGUCAAAGGCCUCCGGAAUGUAUCACCUCUCGGGGUGUCUUAUAGCCGGGGGUGCAAUGCGGCCUGCCUGGACCGAGGAACGCGCUUCGGCUCGGACGCUGGCGUAAUGGUCGUAAAUGACC
Molecule: ribosomal RNA, 636 nt
Filed under: Aspergillus acanthosporus
Lineage: Eukaryota; Fungi; Ascomycota; Eurotiomycetes; Eurotiales; Aspergillaceae
Description: eukaryotic LSU rRNA
Rfam family: Eukaryotic large subunit ribosomal RNA
Source: RNAcentral